GACCCGCCUGCACACACUUGGCACAUGUUCAUGCUUUCAUAUUCCCUGUUGGCUCAGCUCCCACUUUCUUUUCAAUCGCUAUCUCAAGUGGAAAAGCACACAUUUAUGAAGAGACUUACUGUAUCUGACACACAUCCAACUCCACAGAAGUAAAAUGAAAUUGCUCAUACUUAAUCGCACCGGCCCCUGAAGACGCUGGCCCACUAAACAUCUGCCCACUAUGAAUGCUGGACCACAGUUUAUUGAAAGGUCCACUGGGUGAUAAUAACAGGGAGAGACAGCGUGAACGAGAUCGAAGUCUGUUACAUUGACUCCACUUCUUGUGACUCAUCCUACCACAGGCAGUGAUAUACUCAGACACAAGAAAAUGUCCUCAAAUUGCUGGCGUGAAAGACCAAUCCCUUCUGUUUUCAAACGCUGAGUCACACAUUGUAGAGACUCACGUCAUCACCCAAUAAUAGUACACCAAGCCAGUUACUAAAAUAAGCUUUUCAAAAUAUUUGGUGACACUGACGAAUUUGCAUUUUUAGGAUGCAGCUAAAAGUAUGCAUUUGACAGCAUAGGCUGUCGAGGCUGUCAGUAAGCGUAAACAGACAAGAUACAAGGAAUCUGCACGCUCUAAUGAACAGGAACUUAUUAGCGGCAGUAUGUCUAUUCCUGUCCCACUAGCCUACUGUCUUUCAUUAGCUGCUUAUGUCACGCCUGUUGGUGUUGUCUUUCAUACUUCCCAUUUUGAUUAGCAUUUGAUCCACAGGCAAAGUAGGAAAAAUCAUAUUCAUUAGUGUCAAUUACUGCUACAUGUGAUCAUUUUUACCAACUAAAUUGUAUUUUUUUC
Molecule: long non-coding RNA, 835 nt
Organism: Syngnathus acus (greater pipefish)
Lineage: Eukaryota; Metazoa; Chordata; Actinopteri; Syngnathiformes; Syngnathidae
Exons: 3
Source: RefSeq, a predicted model, not a curated record